Molecule: ribosomal RNA, 466 nt
Filed under: uncultured bacterium
Lineage: Bacteria
Description: partial 16S ribosomal RNA
Rfam family: Bacterial small subunit ribosomal RNA
Source: RNAcentral
GACGAACGCUGGCGGCGUGCUUAACACAUGCAAGUCGAACGGAAAGGCCCUGCUUGCAGGGUCCUCGAGUGGCGAACGGGUGAGUAACACGUGGGUGAUCUGCCCUGCACUUCGGGAUAAGCUUGGGAAACUGGGUCUAAUACCGGAUAGGAGCUAUCUUUAGUGUGGUGGUUGGAAAGUUUUUUCGGUGUAGGAUGAGCUCGCGGCCUAUCAGCUUGUUGGUGGGGUAAUGGCCUACCAAGGCGGCGACGGGUAGCCGGCCUGAGAGGGUGUACGGCCACAUUGGGACUGGGCUACGGCCCAGACUCCGACAGGAGGCAGCAGUGGGGAAUAUCGGACCAUGCGCGACAGCCUGAUGCAGGGAGGCCGCGUGGGGGAUGAAGGCCUUCGGGUUGUAAAAUCCUUUGGCUAGGGACGAAGCUUUUUUGUGACGGUACCUAGAUAAGAAGCACCGGCUAACUACGUG